AGCGAACGCUGGCGGCAGGCCUAACACAUGCAAGUCGAGCGCCCAGCAAUGGGAGCGGCAGACGGGAUAGUAACACGUGGGAACGUACCUUUCAGUUCGGAACAACCCAGGGAAACUUGGGCUAAUACCGAAUACGUCCGUAAGGAGAAAGAUUUAUCGCUGAAAGAUCGGCCCGCGUCUGAUUAGCUAGUUGGUGAGGUAAUGGCUCACCAAGGCGACGAUCAGUAGCNGGUCUGAGAGGAUGAUCAGCAUCACUGGGGACUGAGACACGGCCCAGACUCCUACGGGA
RNAcentral lists this ribosomal RNA (289 nucleotides) under uncultured bacterium. Its description in RNAcentral is "partial 16S ribosomal RNA". It matches the Rfam family "Bacterial small subunit ribosomal RNA", at positions 29 to 346 of the family's 1533-position model. The record is from RNAcentral.